Molecule: ribosomal RNA, 465 nt
Filed under: uncultured bacterium
Lineage: Bacteria
Description: partial 16S ribosomal RNA
Rfam family: Bacterial small subunit ribosomal RNA
Source: RNAcentral
GACGAACGCUGGCGGCGUGCUUAACACAUGCAAGUCGAACGGAAAGGCCCCUUUGGGGGUACUCGAGUGGCGAACGGGUGCGUAACACGUGAGUAACCUGCCCUUGACUUCGGGAUAACUUCAGGAAACUGGGGCUAAUACCGGAUAGGAAUCCUUGCUGCAUGUUGGGGGUUGGAAAGCUUCGGCGGUUUUGGAUGGACUCGCGGCUUAUCAGCUUGUUGGUGGGGUAGUGGCUUACCAAGGCUUUGACGGGUAGCCGGCCUGAGAGGGCGACCGGCCACAUUGGGACUGAGAGACGGCCCAGACUCCUAAGGGAGGCAGCAGUGGGGAAUAUUGCACAACGGGCGGAAGACUGAUGCAGCAACGCCGCGUGCGGGAUGACGGCCUUCGGGUUGCAAACCGCUUUCAGCAGGGGCGAAGCUUGUGGUGACGGUACCUGCAGAAGAAGCACCGGCUAACUACGUG